GACGAACGCUGGCGGCGUGCUUAACACAUGCAAGUCGAACGGAAAGGCCCUGCUUUUGUGGGGUGCUCGAGUGGCGAACGGGUGAGUAACACGUGAGUAACCUGCCCUUGACUUUGGGAUAACUUCAGGAAACUGGGGCUAAUACCGGAUAGGAGCUCCUGCUGCAUGGUGGGGGUUGGAAAGUGUCGGCGGUUGGGGAUGGACUCGCGGCUUAUCAGCUUGUUGGUGGGGUAGUGGCUUACCAAGGCUUUGACGGGUAGCCGGCCUGAGAGGGUGACCGGCCACAUUGGGACUGAGGUACGGCCCAGGCUCCUACGGGAGGCAGCAGUGGGGAAUCUUGCACAAUGGGCGGAAGCCUGAUGCAGCAACGCCGCGUGCGGGAUGACGGCCUUCGGGUUGUAAACCGCUUUCGCCUGUGACGAAGCGUGAGUGACGGUAAUGGGUAAAGAAGCACCGGCUAACUACGUG
This 468-nucleotide ribosomal RNA is filed under the name uncultured bacterium. Its description in RNAcentral is "partial 16S ribosomal RNA". It matches the Rfam family "Bacterial small subunit ribosomal RNA", at positions 28 to 507 of the family's 1533-position model. The record is from RNAcentral.